This is a long non-coding RNA of Lathyrus oleraceus (garden pea), 482 nucleotides long. RefSeq lists it as uncharacterized. Lineage: Eukaryota; Viridiplantae; Streptophyta; Magnoliopsida; Fabales; Fabaceae. The transcript is spliced from 3 exons. The record is from RefSeq and is a predicted model, not a curated record.
UCAAAUAGACCUCCUUCGUCUCUAAUGCGCCGGAAAUCACCUUCGGCGGCGGCGGAGGUGAUAUCACCUUCAAACUCACAUAAUCAGAACCGAAAUUUCACCCUUAACCAUAAUCUCCCCUUGUCUCCACCCAAUUUCCAGCCAAUGUUUUGAAAUCCAAGAUUAGAUCCAAGAACCCUAGAUAUUUCAACUCAAAUUAAAUGAAGAUUAUGCACAGAUUCGCAACCAAAGCUUAAGGCUAAUGAUCUAGAGGAUGUAGGUUACACUAUGGUAACAAAAUUGUGAUGAAAUGAGAAGAAGAGUUAUACCUCUAAAGAGAAGGUUUGCUCCGGUGAGUCGUUCAGAUGAGGAAGAAGCUUGUACCAAGGAAAAUCACUUGAAUCAGGUGAUAGGAUUUGUUGGAUACAUGGUGGUGACCUGCAGGAGAAGGUAAACUUGUUAGACUGGUAAUGACCUGUUGAUGUAGGUUUUACUAGAUGAUG